AUAAAAAUAAAAAUAUCAUAAAAAAUAAAACUUAUUUUUGUACUAAUAUAAUUAUAAAUUGGAUUAUAUAUAAUAUAUAAAAUAUAAUAUUUAAAUAUAAAAUAAAGGCCAAAUGAUUAUUUUGGCACCUGAACUUUCACUCUUUGGUCAGCUGCACAUCUAAACUUACACCUUAACUGAUCAGGUACCUUAACUUUGUAUCUCUGUAAUAUUUAAACAUCUUUGUCCUUUUCAGCAAAUGCGUGCAGACACGCGCAAUGACAUGGAGAAGAACAUUGCCACGUUGAAACCAAUAUCAAAUUGACACUGUUACGUUUCACCCCAAAUCUAAUAUAUUAUUUUCUAUUCCUAAUUACAAAAUCCUAAAGUUACCAAAUCUCUAAAACUAUCACUACUUGUCUAUUUUACUUUUUAUCUAAUUAUGAAAUCUUAAAUUUAAAAGAAAUUGGAGAAGAGAAUCAAUCAAUUCGUUGUCCAGCUUGCUGCUAAUACUGUUAAUAAGGCUACCGACAGUACUUCAAAAGCUACUAAAAAACCCACAAAUGUUGCUUCUCUUGCUAUGUUAUUUAACACAGCAUCCUCACAGAAUACAAAUGUACCACCAACCUAAGCAAGUGCUUCUACUGCUAUGCCAUCCACACAUGUUAUGCCAUCUACACCUGCAUCCAGUAGAUUAGUGCCUAGGAAUGUAUUUACUAAUACAAGAGGAAAAUGCAUCUAUAAAACUAUUGGACUAACAAAUGAGGAAAGUUCACUGGUAUUGCAACCAACUGCUACAAGUGGAAGAAGAGAAAGGGGGAGAGAUGGAGGAAGAAGUAAUGCUGAAGCUACUCCAACGACUUGACCAGCACCAAAGAGACAGAAAGUUUCAAGCUAUGGAGUGUACAUCAAUGAAAGAACAGGUGUUGCAGUAAAAAAUUAUGGGUUACUAACUGCAAAAGUUGUCCACACACUAAACACAAUAUUAAGGUCAUCUACUGUCACAGGAGAUAUUGGCUUCCAACCUUAUGAUUUGAGAUGGAAAGGGAAACAUGCUAUAACUUCCAGGCAACUUCAGUAAGAUGUAGCAACAAGGAGAUUCAGUAAUAAAGCAACUUAAGUAACUAGUGCUAGUUCACAAGCAAGCACAACUACAAAAGCAAGAACAUUACUCUUGCUACUUAGAAUGCAGUGGAACCUACACUUUUUUGUCUUCAACAUAGCAGAAGUGACUUCACUUUUUUUUUCUUGCAGAAUUUUUGCUGCACUUUAUGGCUUAUUUUGUAGUAUUGUUAUGUCGUUGUGUUGCCAAUUAGCUAUGGAAAGUAUUAUUAUGUCAUUUUGUUUAUUUUGUACUAUAAACUGUGGCAAGUUUAUUAUGCUAUAUUGGACUGAACGU
Ricinus communis (castor bean) is the source of this 1378-nucleotide long non-coding RNA. RefSeq lists it as uncharacterized. The transcript is spliced from 3 exons. The record is from RefSeq and is a predicted model, not a curated record. NCBI's taxonomy places the organism in Eukaryota, Viridiplantae, Streptophyta, Magnoliopsida, Malpighiales, Euphorbiaceae.